Molecule: long non-coding RNA, 1262 nt
Filed under: Zonotrichia albicollis (white-throated sparrow)
Lineage: Eukaryota; Metazoa; Chordata; Aves; Passeriformes; Passerellidae
Description: lncRNA (ENSZALG00000001034.1)
Source: RNAcentral
CAGGGAUUGGCAAUGGGAUCAGGGAUUGGGAUUAGGGUCAGGGAUUGAGAACAGGGAUCAGGAAUGGGAUUGGGGUUGGAUUGGGAUUGGGAUUGGGGUUGGGAAUGGUAUCAGGGAUUGGGAUUGGGAUCAGGAUUGGCAUUGGGAUCAGGGAUUGGGGUUGGGAAUGGGAUCAGGGAUUGGGAUUGGGAUCAGGAUUGGGAUUGGGAUCAGGGACUUGGAUCAGGAUUGGGAUUGGGAUCAGGGAUUGGGAUUGGGAUCAGGAGUGGGAUUGGGAUCGGGGAUUGGGGAUGGGAUUGGGAUCGGGAUCAGGGAUUGAGAACAGGGAUCAGGAAUGAGAUUGGGGUUGGGAAUGGGAUCAGGAAUGGGAUUGGGGUCAGAUUGGGAUCAGGGAUUGGGAUUGGGGUCAGGGAUUGGGAUUGGGAUCAGAAUUGGGAUUGGGAUCAGGGAUUGGGAUCAGGGUCAGGGAUUGAGAACAGGGAUCAGGAAUGGGAUUGGGGUUGGGAAUGGGAUCAGGAAUGGGAUUGGGGUUGCAUUGGGGUUGGGAAUGGGACUGGGGUCAGGGAUUGGGAUUGGGAUUGGGAGCCAUAUCAGGAAUGGGAUCAGGAUCAGGAACAGGAUCAGCAAUGGGUCAGGAAUGGGAUUGGGACCAGGAUCAGAACUUUCCCCAUUCCCAGAGAUUGUGCAGCUGCUGCUGGAGCGGGGUCAGGAUUGGGAUCAGGAUCACAUUUAGGAUCAGGAUCAGGAUCAGGAAUGGGAUUUCUCUCCCCUCCCCAGAGAUGGUGCAGCUGCAAUGGGAUCGGGAAUGGGAUCAGGGAUCAGCAAUGGGAUCAGGGAUCAGAAUUGGGAUCAGGAUCAGGAUUGGGAUCAGGAAUUUUUCCCCAUUCCUUGAGAUCGUGCGGCUGCUGCUGGAGCGGGGUCAGGAUCAGGUUUGGGAUCAGGAUCAGCAAUGGGAUCAGGGAUCAGGAAUUGGGUCAGGAUCAGGAUCAGCAAUGGGAUCAGGGAUCAGGAAUGGGAUCAGGAUCAGGUUUGGGAUCAGGAAUUUUUCCCUUCCCCACAGAUCGUACGUUUGCUGCCGGAGCAGGGUUGGGAUUGGGAUUGGCAUCAGGACUAGGAUUGGGAUCAGGAUUAGGACCAGGAUUGGGAUUGGGGUCAGGAAUGGGAUUGGGAUUAGGAGUGGGAUUGGGAUCAGGAAUUAGACCAGGACUGGGAAUGGGAUUGGCAUCAGGGAUCAGGAAUGGGAUUGGGAAUGGGAUCAGGGA